This 1588-nucleotide long non-coding RNA is filed under the name Homo sapiens (human). RNAcentral describes it as "HSALNT0381897". The record is from RNAcentral. Lineage: Eukaryota; Metazoa; Chordata; Mammalia; Primates; Hominidae.
AAAAAAUACAGCAGGACCUGCAGCUCAUAUAUUCAAACCAUGCUUGUGAAAAUACCAGGACGGUAAAUUAGUGAAUUCCAAAGUCAGGAUUUUUGUUGGAUCUGGCACAGUCACAGGAAAGUCUGAGUUUUCUCAAGGGCAUCCCUGUCUCACCGAGGGGCACCAAGGACAGACGACCAGAAGCAAAUGGCGCAGUCACCGUCAGAGGAGAGUAAAACUCAUUCUGAAACGGUUCCAAAUGCCCAUGCCUGCUCUGUGGUUUUCAGCAAAGCGGACCUUUCCAAAAGACCUCCAACAGGGACUUCCUGGAUGUGAGAACACUAACCAAUUCUCGUUCCUCUCAUCUUUUGCUUUAUUCCUUCCUUCCAUGCUGUUAUUGCGAAAAACUGGUAGUUAAAUUCAAUUGAUUCAAAAUAUUCGGGAUCCAUAUGGCCGCCAACCCUGGAGCUGAAGCGGCGAUAGCGCCUCACUGCUGUUUUCAAGCAUUUGCCUCUCCUCCAGUCCCCAGAUGGUGGGAGUAACAUUUAAACCUCCUUUUCUCUGCCUUGUACAAUAGACCUUGGCACCAUUUCAACUGUUUACUCCGGUAAUUAACAGCUCUGAUACCACAACAAUUACAACUCCUACACUCUCACCACAAUAAUGCUAUGAAUUAGUGAGAGCUAAUGGCUGGAAGGUAGAGUGUUUCCAGACUGUGGGAUCUGUGCAUUUUUAGAAUAAAAUAAAAGGUACAAACAGCACGCUUGCAGUAGACAAUGAUUACCUAGUAAUUAGUUUACACAAAGCUUCCUAUUUAAUGGCAAAACGCUGUAAUUAACGUGUGACAGAAAAUCAAAGGGUACUUUGUAAGCAUAUUAAAAAUUAACACUGCAGGCCCAUAGCUUUAUGUACUGAUUAGAAGCAUAUUAAAUCAAUAGGACACACAAACCAACAGCUUGGGUAGCUGAUUAUUAUAGGUCCUCAGAAGGGGUACCCUGGCUUUCAUUUCACUUGGGGAGGCAAUUUUCCUUCUCCUGUCAUCUUCCUCAGGCACAGAGAAACACCUCAAACUCAACCCUGGCAGCUUCAUGAAAAUAACCACUGAACUGGAAGAAAACAUUCUAAGUCAUUCUCAGAGAUGAAGACAAAUAUGUAAAUGAUUAAGACUUUCCAAUGAUUGUGGUGACGUGCUGCUACACUAAUUAGAAAAUACACCAACUGGAACCAGAAAAUAAAGCCACUGGGUUGCAAUCUUCCGGUCAGAAUAAUCUCUACUUUGUCAAGCCUCUUUAUUCAACUCAUAGAAAGUUCAAAUAAAUGGAACUGUUUUAUAUUUCUAAAUGAUAAGAAAGCAGGCUGCUAUGAAGACUUAUUCUUUCCAAGGCACUGUCUGGGUAAAGCAUAGGCUGGGAACAACUGGAUCAACCAACAUUCUGUAUCUUCAACAGCCACAACCCCAUAUAAUGAUGGCUGAUGGACAUAGACAGCAAUAUCCUGGAAGCCUACCAGAGCCUAAAGAACCUUCUGAAUCACCAAAGAAAGAUUAAGUUGUAUGUACUUGUUCAAUGUUACCUGUAUUUUGUUAUAAUACAAUUUUAUGGUAAUAAUA